Asterias rubens (European starfish) is the source of this 643-nucleotide long non-coding RNA. RefSeq lists it as uncharacterized. The transcript is spliced from 3 exons. The record is from RefSeq and is a predicted model, not a curated record. NCBI's taxonomy places the organism in Eukaryota, Metazoa, Echinodermata, Asteroidea, Forcipulatida, Asteriidae.
UAUACUCUUUAUUGUACUUAUAAAUCAAGUAUUAAACCUCAAGAAACACUGACUGGGUAAAGUUUUCGUUGCUCAUUUUCCAAUUCAUUCUUUUACUUGUAGGAAUUGUUCAGAAUUGUGACAAUCUGAGAUGUGCGGGAGGUUGAACAGGGAGGCAGCCCAGCAAGGCUGAAGAGACUCAAGUCCACAAAGUACCAUCAAAGCUUGACUGUAGUGAAAUCUUUGCCAUCGUCCUGCAAUACACACAAGGCAGAUCUGUUGUUGGAUUAUCUCAGAAAACUGUUACUCAGUGAGUUGGAAGGUGUAGACACACUCCUGCAACAGCUUGCUUACUUUGAGAACAUCUUCAAGAUGGCUCACAAAUUCACGACAAAGCUGGCAAUGGAUUGCCUCCACUACGGAAGAGACUGAAAGAGAAAAGGCGAGGGUGUGCAACUCCAGGAAUGUGCCCCACUGCUACAACUUGAGGAUGAGGCCACCAUGCAAGUCUAUGUCAGAUUCGCGACACUUCACUCAAGCGAACACUUUCAUAGCCCAAAGUGCCCAAUCUUGAAUUGCCUCGCAUGCUAAAAGGCACUGGACACCUUUGGUAAUUGCCAAAGACCAGGAGUCGAUUUAACAAAGAGUUAGGCCUCAUCUUAUC